RNAcentral lists this ribosomal RNA (1346 nucleotides) under uncultured bacterium. Its description in RNAcentral is "partial 16S ribosomal RNA". It matches the Rfam family "Bacterial small subunit ribosomal RNA", at positions 28 to 1381 of the family's 1533-position model. The record is from RNAcentral.
GACGAACGCUGGCGGCGUGCUUAACACAUGCAAGUCGAACGGAAAGGCCCUGCUUUUGUGGGGUGCUCGAGUGGCGAACGGGUGAGUAACACGUGAGUAACCUGCCCUUGACUUUGGAAUAACUUCAGGAAACUGGGGCUAAUACCGGAUAGGAGCUCCUGCUGCAUGGUGGGGGUUGGAAAGUUUCGGCGGUUGGGGAUGGACUCGCGGCUUAUCAGCUUGUUGGUGGGGUAGUGGCUUACCAAGGCUUUGACGGGUAGCCGGCCUGAGAGGGUGACCGGCCACAUUGGGACUGAGAUACGGCCCAGACUCCUACGGGAGGCAGCAGUGGGGAAUAUUGCACAAUGGGCGGAAGCCUGAUGCAGCAACGCCGCGUGCGGGAUGACGGCCUUCGGGUUGUAAACCGCUUUCGCCUGUGACGAAGCGUGAGUGACGGUAAUGGGUAAAGAAGCACCGGCUAACUACGUGCCAGCAGCCGCGGUGAUACGUAGGGUGCGAGCGUUGUCCGGAUUUAUUGGGCGUAAAGGGCUCGUAGGUGGUUGAUCGCGUCGGAAGUGUAAUCUUGGGGCUUAACCCUGAGCGUGCUUUCGAUACGGGUUGACUUGAGGAAGGUAGGGGAGAAUGGAAUUCCUGGUGGAGCGGUGGAAUGCGCAGAUAUCAGGAGGACCACCAGUGGCGAAGGCGGUUCUCUGGGGCUUUCCUGACGCUGAGGAGCGAAAGCGUGGGGAGCGAACAGGCUUAGAUACCCUGGUAGUCCACGCUGUAAACGGUGGGUACUAGGUGUGGGGUCCAUUCCACGGGUUCCGUGCCGUAGCUAACGCUUUAAGUACCCCGCCUGGGGAGUACGGCCGCAAGGCUAAAACUCAAAGGAAUUGACGGGGCCCCGCACAAGCGGCGGAGCAUGCGGAUUAAUUCGAUGCAACGCGUAGAACCUUACCUGGGUUUGACAUGGAUCGGGAGUGCUCAGAGAUGGGUGUGCCUCUUUUGGGGUCGGUUCACAGGUGGUGCAUGGCUGUCGUCAGCUCGUGUCGUGAGAUGUUGGGUUAAGUCCCGCAACGAGCGCAACCCUUGUUCACUGUUGCCAGCACGUUAUGGUGGGGACUCAGUGGAGACCGCCGGGGUCAACUCGGAGGAAGGUGGGGAUGACGUCAAGUCAUCAUGCCCCUUAUGUCCAGGGCUUCACGCAUGCUACAAUGGCUGGUACAGAGAGUGGCGAGCCUGUGAGGGUGAGCGAAUCUCGGAAAGCCGGUCUCAGUUCGGAUUGGGGUCUGCAACUCGACCUCAUGAAGUCGGAGUCGCUAGUAAUCGCAGAUCAGCAACGCUGCGGUGAAUAAGUUCCCGGGGCU